GAUGAACGCUAGCGGCAGGCUUAAUACAUGCAAGUCGAGGGGCAGCGGGAGUAGCAAUACUUGCCGGCGACCGGCGCACGGGUGCGUAACACGUAUGUAAUCUGCCCAUCACAGGAGGAUAGCCCGGAGAAAUUCGGAUUAAUACUCCAUAAUAGAAGAUAAAGCAUUUUAUUUUCUUGAAAGUUCCGACGGUGAUGGAUGAACAUGCGACUGAUUAGUUUGUUGGUGAGGUAACGGCUCACCAAGACUACGAUCAGUAGGGGUACUGAGAGGUUAAACCCCCANACUGGUACUGAGACACGGACCAGACUCCUACGGGAGGCAGCAGUAAGGAAUAUUGGACAAUGGCCGCAAGGCUGAUCCAGCCAUGCCGCGUGCAGGAAGACGGACCCUA
RNAcentral lists this ribosomal RNA (394 nucleotides) under uncultured bacterium. Its description in RNAcentral is "bacterial SSU rRNA". It matches the Rfam family "Bacterial small subunit ribosomal RNA", at positions 28 to 420 of the family's 1533-position model. The record is from RNAcentral.